This 71-nucleotide transfer RNA is filed under the name Loxodonta africana (African savanna elephant). It matches the Rfam family "tRNA". From Rfam's summary of the family: Transfer RNA (tRNA) molecules are approximately 80 nucleotides in length. Lineage: Eukaryota; Metazoa; Chordata; Mammalia; Proboscidea; Elephantidae. The record is from Rfam by way of RNAcentral.
GCAUUGGUGGUUCAGUGGUAAAAUCAUUGCCUUCCAUGCAGGAGACCCUGGUUUGAUUCUCAGCCAAUGUA